This 450-nucleotide ribosomal RNA is filed under the name uncultured bacterium. Its description in RNAcentral is "partial 16S ribosomal RNA". It matches the Rfam family "Bacterial small subunit ribosomal RNA", at positions 354 to 796 of the family's 1533-position model. The record is from RNAcentral.
GUGGGGAAUUUUGGACAAUGGGCGCAAGCCUGAUCCAGCAAUGCCGCGUGCAGGAAGAAGGCCUUCGGGUUGUAAACUGCUUUUGUACGGAACGAAACGGCUCUGGUUAAUACCCGGGGCUAAUGACGGUACCGUAAGAAUAAGCACCGGCUAACUACGUGCCAGCAGCCGCGGUAAUACGUAGGGUGCACGCGUUAAUCGGAAUUACUGGGCGUAAAGCGUGCGCAGGCGGUUUUGUAAGACAGGCGUGAAAUCCCCGGGCUCAACCUGGGAAUUGCGCUUGUGACUGCAAGGCUGGAGUGCGGCAGAGGGGGAUGGAAUUCCGCGUGUAGCAGUGAAAUGCGUAGAUAUGCGGAGGAACACCGAUGGCGAAGGCAAUCCCCUGGGCCUGCACUGACGCUCAUGCACGAAAGCGUGGGGAGCAAACAGGAUUAGAAACCCUUGUAGUCC